CACCAUUACGACUACAAGUUCACAACCGUACGUACUAUCAGUUGUUGCGUACAUUACAAUCUAUUGAGAUAUAUACGCUUCAAACGUUUUAAUAUAAUAUUCGAUAUUAUAUUUUUUCUUCGACAUCCACCAAAAUUACGGAUGUCAUGAGCGACCGCAAGAAAUACGAUUUCGAUCCAGACAAGGACAUUUUUAUAAAUGGUUAUGAAUGCGGGCUCAGACCAGAGCGAAUACUUGCGAUUGUUCAAAUGCGAGGAUUAAGUUAUUGUUUAAUGAAGUGGAAUGAAACCGAGGACGCAUCAUAUGUCACAUUCAAUUUUGCAAGAGAUAAAUUUCCAGUGACCGUGAUAAUGUUUUAUGAACAACUUGUUCGUCAGGAUUUAAGAGAAUAAAUAAUACUCUUAUUGUUUAAUAAGGCACAGAUAGUGUGUAUAUCAAUAAAGGAAAAAAAUGAUGUAUUAAGAAACACAAAAUUAUGAUUUUUAACAGUAUCUUACAAAAUAUAAUAGUGCAACUGAAAUAAAAUUGGUUUCAAAACCAAUUCCAGUAAAUAAGACUGGAGAAAAAAAGGCAAUGGUAUUUAAUUUCCCACCAAACAAAUUAAAAUCUUAAAGGUUCUGUUUCAAGAAAUCAUCUAUAAAACGCUCCAAAGCAAAUGUCAAUAUAUCAAUAAACACAGAAAAUUGUAUAUUAUAUAUAUUUUUUUAUUACUAUUAUUUCU
Molecule: long non-coding RNA, 721 nt
Organism: Aphis gossypii (cotton aphid)
Lineage: Eukaryota; Metazoa; Arthropoda; Insecta; Hemiptera; Aphididae
Exons: 5
Source: RefSeq, a predicted model, not a curated record